UACGUAGGGGGCGAGCGUUGUCCGAAUUUACUGGGCGUAAAGAGCUUGUAGGCGGUUUGUCGCGUCUGCUGUGAAAUUUCGGGGCUCAACCCCGAACUUGCAGUGGGUACGGGCAGACUAGAGUGUGGUAGGGGAGACUGGAAUUCCUGGUGUAGCGGUGAAAUGCGCAGAUAUCAGGAGGAACACCGGUGGCGAAGGCGGGUCUCUGGGCCGUAACUGACGCUGAGGAGCGAAAGCGUGGGGAGCGAACAGG
This 253-nucleotide ribosomal RNA is filed under the name uncultured bacterium. Its description in RNAcentral is "partial 16S ribosomal RNA". It matches the Rfam family "Bacterial small subunit ribosomal RNA", at positions 524 to 776 of the family's 1533-position model. The record is from RNAcentral.